ACGAGUGCCUCAAGCGUUAUCCGGAAUUAUUGGGCGUAAAGGGUGUGUAGGUUGUUUUGUUAGUCUUCUGUUAAAUUUCUCGGCUUAACCGGGAACCUGCAGGGGAAACGGCAAGACUUAGAGUGUGCGAGGGGUCUGUGGAACUCAUAGUGUAGCAGUGAAAUGCGUUGAUAUUAUGGGGAACACCAAAAGCGAAGGCAGCAGACUGGAGCAUUACUGACACUGAAACACGAAAGCGUGGGUAGCGAAUGG
RNAcentral lists this ribosomal RNA (252 nucleotides) under uncultured prokaryote. RNAcentral describes it as "partial 16S rRNA". It matches the Rfam family "Bacterial small subunit ribosomal RNA", at positions 525 to 775 of the family's 1533-position model. The record is from RNAcentral.